Molecule: long non-coding RNA, 1427 nt
Filed under: Pogona vitticeps (central bearded dragon)
Lineage: Eukaryota; Metazoa; Chordata; Lepidosauria; Squamata; Agamidae
Description: lncRNA (ENSPVIG00000021452.1)
Source: RNAcentral
UCAAGUGUUUUGUCCACCAUGGUCCAGCUCUUGAGUUCCUGGAGACCAUGGCCUUCUUGAACAUGUCCCAACAUGUCAACGGCCCCACUCACGUGGGGGGUCAUACACUUGACCUGGUUUUUUCUACCAAUGGGAGUGAGAGUGGUCCGAUGGUGACUGACCUUGAGUCGGUACCCUUGUCAUGGUCGGAUCACCACCUAAUAAAGUGUACCAUUAAAAUGGCUCUCCCCCCCUGCAGGGAGCAGGGAUCUAUUGUUAUGGUCCGCCCUCGAAGGCUACUGGAUCCUGUUGGAUUCCAGGAUGCCAUGAGAGGUGUUACGGCUGACCUGGCUGGCGCUCCUGUCGAGGCUCUGGUGGAUGGCUGGUUUGCUGCCGCGACUAGGGCUGCUGACAUGAUCGCACCUAAACGCCCUCUCCGGCGCAGAGACCGCCCGGCACCCUGGUUUAACCGGGACCUCCGGGCGAGGAAGCGGGUCAGGAGACGGCUAGAGCGCAGGUGGAGAGGGGCCCCGACGGAUCUUAAUAGGAUAGCUGUCAGGGUCGCUACUAACCUUUAUCUUGCUAAGGUAAAGGCUGCUAGUAGAUCAUACCUCGCUAACCGGAUAAGCGAGGCGUCCAACCAGCAGGCGGAGUUAUUCCGUAUAGUACGCGACCUUUCCGGAGUUGGUCCGGGUGAUGGGCCUCCCCCUAGUUUUUCGCCGGACCAAUUUGCAGCAUUUUUUAAAUCAAAAGUGGAGGCCAUCCGCCGGGACCUCUCUCCUUUUUUGAGUACAGUGAGUCGAGCUGAGAUGUCCAGCGCUCCGUCUUGCCCGGUGACUUUGGACACCUUUCAGCCUGUUACGCCUGAUACUGUCUCCAGGGCGCUUGAUCGCUGUCGUGCCACCACCUCCUCUUUGGACCCUUGCCCGGCCUGGCUAAUCAAAGCAGCCAGGCCGUUAACAACGGAGUGGGCCACGGCUAUUAUAAAUGGGUCUCUCCUUGAGGGCAGAUUUCCAUCUGCCCUGAAGGACACACUCAUUAGGCCCAUUAGGAAGAAACCUAGUUUGGCGGCGGACGAAAUUGGCAACUACAGGCCCGUCGCCAAUGUUUCCUUCCUUAGCAAGGUAGUCGAGAGGGUGGUGGCCGAUCAGCUUCAGGCGCUCUUGGAAGAAACAGAUGCCCUGGAUCCAUUCCAGUCGGGCUUCAGGCCGCGCCACGGCACAGAAACGGCUUUGGUCGCCCUGUGUGAUGACCUACUGAGGGAGGCCGACAGGGGUAAAGUGUCCCUGUUGGUCCUCCUCGACAUCUCAGCGGCCUUUGAUACCAUUGACCACGGUAUCCUCCUGGGGAGGCUCUCCGAGUUGGGAAUAGGUGGCCUGGCAUUGUCCUGGCUCCGUUCCUUCUUGGAGGACCGCCCCCAGAGAGUNNNNNNNNNNNNNNNNNNNNNN